AGUUUUAUCUUAUUUUACCGAAAUUUUAUAAAACUGCUCAAGAAGUAAUGAGCUUGUCUAAGCAGAAAAAUUGUAUUCUGCAAGCUUUGGAACCCACCGUCUUCUUGGGAGUUCCUUAUUUACAAAAUUCGUUUAAACGGAUUCAGCAAGCCUGUCACGAAGUGUUAUACAAACUAUUUAUUACGUGGAUCAUCUGUGGGAUAGAUUCUAAAGAUCC
Long non-coding RNA from Zophobas morio, 217 nucleotides. RefSeq lists it as uncharacterized. Lineage: Eukaryota; Metazoa; Arthropoda; Insecta; Coleoptera; Tenebrionidae. The record is from RefSeq and is a predicted model, not a curated record. The transcript is spliced from 3 exons.